RNAcentral lists this ribosomal RNA (468 nucleotides) under uncultured bacterium. Its description in RNAcentral is "partial 16S ribosomal RNA". It matches the Rfam family "Bacterial small subunit ribosomal RNA", at positions 28 to 507 of the family's 1533-position model. The record is from RNAcentral.
GACGAACGCUGGCGGCGUGCUUAACACAUGCAAGUCGAACGGAAAGGCCCUGCUUUUGUGGGGUGCUCGAGUGGCGAACGGGUGAGUAACACGUGAGUAACCUGCCCUUGACUUUGGGAUAACUUCAGGAAACUUGGGCUAAUACCGGAUAGGAGCUCCUGCUUCAUGGUGGGGGUUGGAAAGUUUCGGCGGUUGGGGAUGGGCUCGCGGCUUAUCAGCUUGUUGGUGGGGUAGUGGCUUACCAAGGCUUUGACGGGUAGCCGGCCUGAGAGGGUGACCGGCCAAAUUGGGACUGAGAUACGGCCCAGACUCCUACGGGAGGCAGCAGUGGGGAAUAUUGCAUAAUGGGCGGAAGCCUGAUGCAGCAACGCAGCGUGCGGGAUGACGGCCUUCGGGUUGUAAACCGCUUUCGCCUGUGACGAAGCGUGAGUGACGGUAAUGGGUAAAGAAGCACCGGCUAACUACGUG